GAUGAACGCUGGCGGCGUGCCUAAUACAUGCAAGUCGAGCGAACAGACGAGGCGCUUGCUCCUCUGCCGUUAGCGGCGGACGGGUGAGUAACACGUGGAUAACCUACCUAUAAGACUGGGAUAACUUCGGGAAACCGGAGCUAAUACCGGAUAAUAUAUUGAACCGCAUGGUUCAAUAGUGCUAGCCGGUUUUGACGUCACUUAUAGAUGGAUCCAGGCCGCAUUAGCUAGUUGGUAAGGUAACGGCUUACCAAGGCAACGAUGGGUAGCCGACCUGAGAGGGUGAUCGGUCACACUGGAACUGAGACACGGUCCAGACUCCUACGGGAGGCAGCAGUAGGGAAUCUUCCGCAAUGGGCGAAAGCCUGACGGAGCAACGCCGCGUGAGUGAAGAAGGUCUUCGGAUCGUAAAACUCUGUUAUUAGGGAAGAACAAAUGUGUAAGAAACUAUGCACGUCUUGACGGUACCUAAUCAGAAAGCCACGGCUAACUACGUG
This 497-nucleotide ribosomal RNA is filed under the name uncultured bacterium. RNAcentral describes it as "partial 16S ribosomal RNA". It matches the Rfam family "Bacterial small subunit ribosomal RNA", at positions 28 to 507 of the family's 1533-position model. The record is from RNAcentral.